Molecule: ribosomal RNA, 253 nt
Filed under: uncultured bacterium
Lineage: Bacteria
Description: partial 16S ribosomal RNA
Rfam family: Bacterial small subunit ribosomal RNA
Source: RNAcentral
UACAGAGGUCCCAAGCGUUGUUCGGAUUCAUUGGGCGUAAAGGGUGCGUAGGCGGUCGGGUAAGUCGGAUGUGAAAUCCCAGGGCUCAACCCUGGAAAGCCGGCCGAUACUGUCGGACUAGAGUCCGGAAGAGGCAAGUGGAAUUCCCGGUGUAGCGGUGAAAUGCGCAGAUAUCGGGAGGAACACCAAUUGCGAAGGCAGCUUGCUGGGACGGUACUGACGCUGAGGCGCGAAAGCGUGGGGAGCAAACAGG